GCCUAUUCAUGUCUUUCAUUCAUUUAAACUAGUAUUAUCCUCAAGAAGUCCAUUAUGUGUCAAUUUAAACUCAAUCAGUCAACAUAGCUGUUUUUACUGUGUUAUCCUUAUUAUAUCAGUUUCAAACAGGUAAAGAUUCAAAUCAUGACAAGAAAUCACAUCACAGUCUUAACAGUCAGUACUAUACUUGUCUACUCAAUUCCAAUCUCAUC
RNAcentral lists this long non-coding RNA (212 nucleotides) under Panax ginseng (ginseng). RNAcentral's name for it is "long non-coding RNA (PGIN_LNC015918)". Lineage: Eukaryota; Viridiplantae; Streptophyta; Magnoliopsida; Apiales; Araliaceae. The record is from RNAcentral.